This 3183-nucleotide long non-coding RNA is filed under the name Oncorhynchus kisutch (coho salmon). RNAcentral describes it as "lncRNA (ENSOKIG00005042737.1)". The record is from RNAcentral. Lineage: Eukaryota; Metazoa; Chordata; Actinopteri; Salmoniformes; Salmonidae.
CCUGUGUGUGUGUGUGUGUGUGUGUGUGUGUGUGUGUGUGUGUGUGUGUGUGUGUGUGUGUGUGUGUGUGUGUGUGUGUGUGUGUGUGUGUGUGUGUGUGUGUGUGUGUGUGUGUGUGUGUGUGUGUGUGUGUGUGUGUGUGUGUGUGUGUGUGUGUGUGUGAAACAAAAAUAGAUACUCUUUGGUUCCUUUUCAACCUGGCUAACCUGAAUGAUUAUGUUCGUUGGUUCAAUAGGUGUGUCUACUCUAUACAGGUGACUUUGAGCUUUGGACCGUGCCCUGAUAGGUCUGCUCCUUUAAGAAAUGGUUAAUGUUGUCCGGAAGCUACGAGCACAAGGCAACAGUGGAGAAGUUUGCGAAGCAGGCGAAAGUGAAUUACAGUCGUACUUGCGUUCCUAUACAACGAAGUUUGCAAUUGAGCAAGACUACUCGGCAUCGUCAGUUUCUCUCCGGACAGCGUUCGUAUUUACUUUUCUAAAAGAAACAGUAGGCGAUCUUAGGUGAUUGAAGAUGACUUUGAAUAAUGCAUUAGAGCGCGUGAGGAGUUGACAUUCUAAAUACUUUGGGAAAUUGAUGUUCAAAUGUAUAGUAACGCCUGAUGAGAUUUCUCUCGCAAACAUUAGCGUUUGUUAGAAAUAGCAGUGGACAAAUAAAUAACUUUCACGUCAGAAUAUUCGGGGACAUCCGCCAUAACUUGUCAUAUCGUUUAAAAUUCAACAGAGUGGCAUUGAACAUUUUUGAACAUGACCGGAACAACAUGUCACCUAAUACCUCGGCAUCCAGGACUGGAGUCCAGGGGAAUGGGCCUAACAAUAGGCAGGUAGCCUAUAUCUCUUGGGAGAAAAGACUGCAUGUUAUACGAUGAUGUUCUUUGCUGUGGUUUACACCUAAAGGAAUUACAUACAAGCUGGACCUCAUUCUGUACUGAGAAGCCUCUUCUUUUGAGGCUUUGUGAUAAACACAUCAUGAACACACAAAAUAACAGCACAUACAGUUCGCCAGGGCAGCUCUAGCACCGCAGAAAUUUGACGAACUGACUUGUUGGAAAGGUGGCAUCCUAUGACAGUGCCACGUUGAAAGUCACUGAGCUCUUCGGCGCGGGCCAUUCUACUGCCAAUGUUUGUCUAUGGAGAUUGCAUGGAUGUGUGCUCGGUUUUAUACACCUGUCAACAACUGGUGUGGGCUGGAGUAGCCGAAUGCACUAAUUUGAAGUGUUGUCCACAUUUUUGUGUAUAUAGGCCUAUGGAUGGGGUUUACCUAGGUUUAAUGCCCAUCAGUUACCUAAGUAAAUUUGUUGUUACAGCCUGAACUUAAAAUGGAUUCAAUUGAGAUUUGUCACUGGCCUAUACAAAAUAUACCCCAUAAUGUCAAAGUGGAAUUAUGUUUUUUGAAAUUGUUUACAAAUAAAUGCAAAAUGAAAAGUUGAAAUGUCUUGAUUCGAUAAGUAUUCAACCCCUUAGUUAUAGCAAGCCUAAAUAAGUUCAGGAUGGUGGCUGCCUCAUGUUAUGGGUAUGCUUGUAAUCAUUAAGGACUGGGGAGUUUUUCAGCAUAAAAAAGAAAUGGAAUGGAGUUAAUAAGCACAGGCAAAAUCCCAAAGGAAAACCUGGUUCAGUCUGCUUUCCACCAGACACUGGGAGAUGGAUUCACCUUUCAGCAGGACAAUAACCUUAAACACAAGGCGACAUCUACAAUGGAGUUGCUUACCAAGAAGACAGUGAAUUUUCCUGAGUGGGUGAGUUAGUUUUCACACAUCUACUUGAAAAUCUAUGGCAAGACCUGAAAAUGGUUGUCUAGCAAUGAUAAACCACCAAUUUGAGAGCUUAAUGGGCAAGUGUUGCACAAUCCAGGUGUGGAAAGCUCUUAGACUUACCCAGAAAGACUCACAGCUGUAAUUGCUGCCACGGUGUUUCAACAAACUAUUGACUUAGGUGUGUGUACAUACUUUUCUGUAUUUCAUUUUCAAUAAAUUUGCAAUCAUUUUGAAAAGCAUGUUUUCACUUUGGUAUUGUGUGUAGAUGGGUGAGGAUUCCGGCUGUAACACAACAACAUGUGGAAUAAGUCAAAGGGUCUGAAUACUUUCUGAAGGCACUGUAAGGGAAUACUGCCAUUUGGGACGCAACUCCAUUCUACUCGAAGUCUCUCUGAUCUCAUGUCCUCUUCCUGUCUUGCUCUUGAGCAUGUUGCUAACUGACUGACUGCUGUAUAUGUAGGACUCGAUGCUCAUUAGGCCUGUUUUCAUGAACUAAUUUCAGACGGCGUUGUUGUCGGUCCAAGUUCAAGGUAGAAUACCAAGACCAAUAAACUAGUGCUAUGUUAUUCCUCCUUAUUUGGCAGGUACUGUAGUGUAGGUAUAACAGUACCUGCCAAAAUAAAGAACUACUCUGCAGCCUAAUUACAUAGACUCCCUCCUAUUAUAUUUGAGCUUUAUGUUGUUGUACUACUUCACACUUGGAAGUGGUCUUGAAGGCUAAUUACUUUUCUCCUUUCCUGUGUGUUUGUGUCAGUAGCUCGUUCUCAUCUCUGACUGAGGUCAUCAUUCUUGAUCAGUAUAGGGGAAUGGGAUGGGUGGCUGGGCUGGGGUGAUGAGGGCCAUACUAUUGCCAGUAUUUACCUUCCCUUUCUGAUAUGAUUUUAUUACUAAGGAAUGGGUGGUGCAGUCACUACUCACCCAGCCUUGACUCUCCAUAGUAACUGGAGAAGAUUGUGGGUACGUCCCAAAUGGCACCCUAUUCUCUAUAUAGUGCACACAUUUUGAUCAGGGCCCCAUCCUAUGGUGCAGUUUUGCAAACAAUAUGAUGCUUCUACCACUGAUGAUGUUUCUACCACUGAACUAGAAUGAGAUUCUAUUUCUAUGUUUGUACCCUAAGCAACUGUACUGUCAGGUUAGGAAAGCACCACAAGCAUGCAGUGAAGUAGCAGUAAAUACUUUUUUGUUUUGUUUUUUUGCUCUUUAACAGCCAGUCAAGAAGUGAUGUCAAUCUGCCUCGCUGAAUUUCCAUGUUAUGAUGUCUGCAAAUGAUUUUUAUUUUUUAUUUUCUGGACUAUUAAAAUGUAUCCUUUGUUUGUUUACUGUCAGAAUUUAUCUGACAAUCUUAUGGGAUAUAAAUGAUUGCUAAAAAACCCCCUUUUUUUUUUCUCUCAAAGACGAAUAUAAAGUUACCAGGAUAAUAACUUUAAUAAAAC